UCAUUUGUGAUAUCAUCUUUUAUUUUUUUCAUUUCAUUUCUUCCCCGUCUCUUCCAUUCCCCUACCUGCGAUAUUUCCCGGCGCCUAGGGUUUCUCCCAGCGGCGAUUCCGGUUCGCCGCCGUUGAGGCGGCGCGUGCCGCGCUCGACGCGCGGCCCCUGGCAGGAGCACGGCACGCGUAUUCCCCCGACGGCCGACGCUCCCAGAUGGGAAGGCAUCCGUGGCGGCGACCUCUUCACGGGCGGACGGAUCGGCCAUGGUGGGAUCCCGAUUCCGGACGCGUACGAGCGGCUGUUGCUGGACGCCAUCGAGGGCGAGCGCUGGCUCUUCCCGUACGGCAGUGCUGGUGCUGCGCUGGGGGCCAGGCCGAUGGCCUUGGUGCCAGGUCCGCCGGCCCUCGAGGGAGGCUGACUGCGUGCCGCAAUUAGGAGGCGGCUUCCAGAUCAGCGCGCGCUAGGCCGGCGGACAUGCGCGCGGUGGUGCGCUGGUGGCCCCUUGCCUCCGUCACCCUCCCCUUCCGUCCAAGGAAUACAGGAGAAGAAAAAUAAGGAACUUACAGGAUUCAACAGCGCUGGUAUUUUCGGAUCAAUAGGUGUCCCUUGCGUAUCUUUGUUGCUUUGAGUUGUGCAGUAGAUGGCUCUGAUCUGUUCGUCAUGGCGACUGUGCUGCAGUUUCCGGAGCGGCUGCGUCGUCGAUCCCUGAUAGACGGUGCACACGCAGGACCGGCGACGGCGUCGAUCCUACGCACUGGACGGUGCACACGCAGGAGCUACGGCGGCGUCGAUCCCAAAUUGCUGGACGGUGCACGCGCAGGAGCCGCGAAGGCCUGUGCGUUAAAUAAAGUUCUGCUGCUCCUAUCAACGAUGGCAAUAUUUAUAUAUAGGUGUCAGAGAUGUAACUAACAAUGAUGUCUGAAUACAAUACGGUUUCCUGGCCAAUUAUAAUACGAUUUGCUUGCCA
Molecule: long non-coding RNA, 959 nt
Organism: Panicum hallii
Lineage: Eukaryota; Viridiplantae; Streptophyta; Magnoliopsida; Poales; Poaceae
Exons: 2
Source: RefSeq, a predicted model, not a curated record